ACGGGAGGCAGCAGUGAGGAAUAUUGGUCAAUGGAGGCAACUCUGAACCAGCCAAGUCGCGUGAAGGAAGAAGGCCCUACGGGUCGUAAACUUCUUUUGCAGGGGGAUAAAGUCGGCCACGCGUGGCCGUUUGCAGGUACCCUGUGAAUAAGCAUCGGCUAACUCCGUGCCAGCAGCCGCGGUAAUACGGAGGAUGCGAGCGUUAUCCGGAUUUAUUGGGUUUAAAGGGUGCGCAGGCGGCACGUUAAGUCAGCGGUGAAAUGUCGGGGCUCAACCCGGGCACUGCCGUUGAAACUGGCGAGCUUGAGUACGGAUGAAGUCGGCGGAAUGUGAUGUGUAGCGGUGAAAUGCUUAGAUAUGUCACAGAACACCGAUUGCGAAGGCAGCUGACUAAUCCGCAACUGACGCUCAGGCACGAAAGCGUGGGGAUCGAACAGGAUUAGAUACCCUGGUA
RNAcentral lists this ribosomal RNA (454 nucleotides) under uncultured Barnesiella sp. Its description in RNAcentral is "partial 16S ribosomal RNA". It matches the Rfam family "Bacterial small subunit ribosomal RNA", at positions 341 to 792 of the family's 1533-position model. Lineage: Bacteria; Pseudomonadati; Bacteroidota; Bacteroidia; Bacteroidales; Barnesiellaceae. The record is from RNAcentral.